This 253-nucleotide ribosomal RNA is filed under the name uncultured bacterium. RNAcentral describes it as "partial 16S ribosomal RNA". It matches the Rfam family "Bacterial small subunit ribosomal RNA", at positions 524 to 776 of the family's 1533-position model. The record is from RNAcentral.
UACGGAGGGUGCGAGCGUUGUCCGGAAUCACUGGGCGUAAAGCGCACGUAGGCGGAUUGCUAAGUCAGGGGUGAAAUCCUGGAGCUCAACUCCAGAACUGCCUUUGAUACUGGCGACCUUGAGUCCGGGAGAGGUGAGUGGAACUGCGAGUGUAGAGGUGAAAUUCGUAGAUAUUCGCAAGAACACCAGUGGCGAAGGCGGCUCACUGGCCCGGUACUGACGCUGAGGUGCGAAAGCGUGGGGAGCAAACAGG